Molecule: ribosomal RNA, 371 nt
Filed under: uncultured bacterium
Lineage: Bacteria
Description: bacterial SSU rRNA
Rfam family: Bacterial small subunit ribosomal RNA
Source: RNAcentral
AUUGAACGCUGGCGGUAUGCCUAACACAUGCAAGUCGAACGAGGUAGCAAUACCUAGUGGCGGACGGGUGAGGAAUACGUAGGGAUCUGCCCUUAAGUGGGGAUAACCCGGGGAAACCCGGAUUAAUACCGCAUGAUCUCGCAAGAGCAAAGAGGGGGACCGCAAGGCCUCUCGCUUUUGGAGGAACCUACGUCGGAUUAGCUAGUUGGUGAGGUAAUGGCUCACCAAGGCGACGAUCCGUAACUGGUCUGAGAGGAUGAUCAGUCACACCGGAACUGAGACACGGUCCGGACUCCUACGGGAGGCAGCAGUGGGGAAUAUUGGACAAUGGGCGAAAGCCUGAUCCAGCAAUACCGCGUGUGUGAAGAAGG